UGCCAGCAGCCGCGGUAAUACCAGCACCCCGAGUGGUCGGGACGAUUAUUGGGCCUAAAGCAUCCGUAGCCGGUUUUGCAAGUCCUCCGUUAAAUCCACCUGCUUAACAGAUGGGCUGCGGAGGAUACUACAAGGCUAGGAGGCGGGAGAGGCAAGCGGUACUCAGUGGGUAGGGGUAAAAUCCGCUGAUCCAUUGAAGACCACCAGUGGCGAAGGCGGCUUGCCAGAACGCGCUCGACGGUGAGGGAUGAAAGCUGGGGGAGCAAAUCGGAUUAGAUACCCGGGUAGUC
This 290-nucleotide ribosomal RNA is filed under the name Acinetobacter baumannii. RNAcentral's name for it is "partial 16S ribosomal RNA". It matches the Rfam family "Archaeal small subunit ribosomal RNA", at positions 456 to 746 of the family's 1478-position model. Lineage: Bacteria; Pseudomonadati; Pseudomonadota; Gammaproteobacteria; Moraxellales; Moraxellaceae. The record is from RNAcentral.